ACGGCUGUAGCUCAGAGAACAGAGCGCAACAGUGCGAACGUUGAGGUCGCAGGUUUGAGUCCUGCCAGCCGUACCA
RNAcentral lists this transfer RNA (76 nucleotides) under Woeseiaceae bacterium. RNAcentral's name for it is "tRNA-Arg". It matches the Rfam family "tRNA". Rfam says of the family: Transfer RNA (tRNA) molecules are approximately 80 nucleotides in length. Their secondary structure includes four short double-helical elements and three loops (D, anti-codon, and T loops). Lineage: Bacteria; Pseudomonadati; Pseudomonadota; Gammaproteobacteria; Woeseiales; Woeseiaceae. The record is from RNAcentral.